RNAcentral lists this long non-coding RNA (385 nucleotides) under Nicotiana benthamiana. RNAcentral's name for it is "long non-coding RNA (NBEN_LNC010027)". The record is from RNAcentral. Lineage: Eukaryota; Viridiplantae; Streptophyta; Magnoliopsida; Solanales; Solanaceae.
CGAAGGCGUUUGGCCUAAGUCCCAGUUCAACUGAAGUUGAACUUAUUGAAUUUGAUGGUGAAGGCACGUGGCCUUAUAGUUCAAGCGAGGUCAAACUUGUUGACUUUAACGUCGAAGGCGCUUAGCCUGAGUCACAGUUCAACUAAAUUUGAACUUAUUGAAUUUGAUGGAAAAGGCACUUGGCCUUAUUGUUCGAGUGAGGUCGAACUCAUUGAGUUUAACGUCGAAGGCGCUUAGCCUGAGUCUCAGUUCAACUGAAGUUGAACUUAUUGAAUUUAAUCGAUCCAAUGCCACGGGCCUUAGGUGCCAAGUCUCGGCUUUGAUUUGGGUUCUUAUAUAACUUAUAUGUUGUCCUUAAUUUAGAGUUUCAAAUUCAAAAAAUAAG